Molecule: non-coding RNA, 1587 nt
Organism: Pimephales promelas (fathead minnow)
Lineage: Eukaryota; Metazoa; Chordata; Actinopteri; Cypriniformes; Leuciscidae
Source: RefSeq, a predicted model, not a curated record
CGUCAUCAUCAUCAUCAUUACACAAUAAAGCGGAACAGGCGCUUCGGCGAUAUGAAGCAAAACUUCGCAGGAAAAGGGAGCCGGCUCGAAGCCUCUCAUGAACACCACCUGAUCGUCAAUGUGGCUGGAUGCAUAGAGGGAGAAAGUAAGAGAGUGGCAGACAUAGAGGAGAGAGAGAGCCAGAGGUGAGGAUAACACGCAGAGCGGCAGAGGAAGGGCUGUGACAACACUACUGAAAUCUAUGUCGGCCCCAGUAUGACUGAGCGAAGUGAUUGGCUGAAUGACGUGUCCAUCAAACAUAUUUUGUGUGUUGGUUGGAUGGUGCGUCCCUGGCCGAAUGCCAGACCUCCUGCGGGGAUUUUGCCGCUUUCUUAGGAAAGCAAUGUGCUGUCUGGGGUUUCCGGGGGACCGAGGCCUCAUUACAGUUGUGUGAAAGAAACUCUUUUGAAUCUUUUUUUCAUUUUGACAUCUGAAAGUCCCGUGCACAAAGCCAGAUCAAAGUUUGUGACACAUUUAGCCAGAGAGUGAUGUUUUUAACACUCGACUGAAGGUUUUGAAUUGAGUUUUGAAAGUUAAAUGAACACUCCUGCAAAGCAGUUGCAAAGAGGAGGUGUACAGAAAUAGUUCAGAAACAUGUCUGCAAACAAGGUGAAGACAAAAGUGGAGAGUGAAUAUGGAUAUAAAGAUUGCGCACAGUUGUGUUACAGACGUGAGUGAUUCCACAAGUCAGACAUCAUACAGUACGCAGAGUUUGUUAUGUGCAGUUACUUUUCUAAGUAUCACAACAAUAUAUGUCUAUGUAUAUAGAAAAGGAACUAAAACAUGCCUUUUGCCUUAGCAGUUGCCCUAACAACCACUCAUAACACCUUAGCAACACUUCAGAAAUCACCUAAAACAACUUUACACAGUCUUUGACAAACUACAACACUUCUUAAAGGGACGGUUCACCCAAAAAAUGUAAAUUCUGUCAUCAUUUAUGACUUCAUUUUCAACGUUUUGAGGGAACUGUCCCUGCAAGAACAUGUAAAAAGCUAGUUUUGAUGUGUUUAUAAGAGAACGAAGCAGAAAAUAAUAGAAAUAGGGAAAAACAAGGAUAAAAGACAAGAAAGUGAGGAGCAGCAGAGAAACCUGGAGUCCUAUUGAGGCAGCGGCGAAGGUGACGCCAAAAAAGAACAUUCUUUGGCCGGCCGAUGGUUGUUGUAAAAAGACACUCAAGAACACAAUGUUCAGCUCUCUGUGUGCCAAGAGGCACCGCAAUGAUAAACAAGAAUCACGUGUGUCCAGAAAAUGUCACUGUGAUCCCCUGAAAAAAGUGGACAAAACUAUUUCUCUGUUUAAACAAAAGCUGAAUCAAUUUCCUGUUUCACUCUAUUACUUUGUGACUGAUUCAUUCUGUUUUUACUUUAUGACACCCAUUACCCGGACGUGGACUGUUUCCUAGGCUGACCAGCACAAUUUUUCCUUAAUCUACAGUGUCAAUCAUCAUAGUCAGUUAAACCUAUAGUAUUGUCCCAGACUAAAAGCUUUCGUAACUGAAAGCAACUUGCAUUGAUAUAUCUUCAAAUAUGUCAGUGCCAUUGUUUUGUC